CUCUAGCGAUCGAAACAUUUUGAGCUCAAGUACAAACGGGUAGAAAUCUAGCACAAACGAUAAAAUUAUUUCGUAUUGCGAAAAGCAAUCACCUGUCGACUAUCGUCAUAGGAAUUAAAAUAAAAAGUCAGAAUAUCGCCUCAAUCGUGACAUUUAGACGGUACAUAUUCAUUUUGUUUAUGCCUUCAAAUGAUAGUUCCUCUGGUAUCCUCUCACUUCAGACAAUUUUCGUCAAUUCGAGGAAGAGGAGAAGAUUGGAAUUGAGGUCGAGGCAUCAAUUGACUUGGAUUGAAAAAAUCGUGGAUCUUCGGUCCAACGAUACGCAAGAAAAUCGCGGAAAUUAAAGGCAAUCACCUCGGAUGACAAUUCCCACAGAGGAAUGCCGAAGAGUGGGAUCAUAAAGCUGCUAUCCCGACUCUCAUUCAGACGUCAGCACUAGGGGUGUUAAUUCCUCAGAGAUUUCUGCUAAAUCCCCCGAAUUCGAUCGGGGAUUCAGUGCCGAAGCUCGCAGAAUCCUGUCAGGAGUUUUGCGCAUCGUCAGUUGAAAUUUCAUCAGCACGUUUAUGAUUUUUCCAUUUUUUCUGAUGGAAGAAACAGACAUCGAAUUUUCCUGGUUGUAAUAUUCUUCUCCGGAGACGAUGACAUGGCGUUGCAGCGGAGCAACGAAUCAGGAGAUGAUAGCGAAGUUAAAACAAAAUGGAAUUUUAACGACGGAGAGAGCUGAAGCGGCAAUGCUCGCAAUUGACCGAGGAAAGUACUGUCACGAGUCUGAUCCGUACCUGGACCGUCCCAGGAGAAUAGGCUACAAUGUCACCAUCAGUGCUCCGCACAUGCACGCUUACGCCUUAUCGAUUCUGACGGACCAGCUGAAGGAGGGCUGCAGGGCAUUGGACGUCGGCUCAGGGUCUGGAUAUUUGACGGCAUGUAUGGGGUUCCUGGUGGGGGCUUCGGGGAAAGUGGUUGGGGUCGAACAUAUUCCCGAGCUUGUGGCUAUUGGGGAAAGGAAUUUGAGGGAGGAUUGCCCGACCUUCAUAGAGGAUGGACGGAUUAAAUUCGUGGAGGCCGAUGGACGAAUUGGAUACUCCCAGGAGGCCCCCUACGAUGCGAUCCACGUCGGAGCGGCUGCUGAGUCGAUCCCCGAAGAGGUACCUCCCAAAAAUAGUCACAAAAUCCCGAAAACAAUAUAUUCCUCUGCAGUUGGUGAGGCAACUGGCCCCUGGGGGUCGCCUGAUUCUCCCAGUCGUUGCCAUCGAGGGCUUUCAGAAGUACCAGGACCUGGUGCAAGUCGACAAGGAUCACGAUGGCACAGUGAAAACCCAGAAGCUCAUGCACGUCUCUUACGUUCUACUCACCGAUCCAAAUACUCAAUUACAUAAUUAGGACUCUCCAAAUCCCCCCCCCCGUUUCACCCCUACCCUAUUGUCUAAAUUCGGAUAGAACAAGAAAAGCUCGUCAGUGGGACAGCCACCAGCUGUGCAAACAGUUCCAACCCAAAAAUUGUCCAAAGUCAGGAGAAUUUAACGCACUCUGGGAUGUGCUGCCGUCAGCUAAUGCCGCAGCAACACUACAAUCGAUCUAUCGAAUUAUUUGCAACGAUAGUCAUGGCAGCGUUUGGGAGGUACCAUGGAAGAUCGAACAAGGACCUAGUGCAGUACCUGAAGAAGUCGAAGGUGAUCAAGUCUGAUCGAGUUUUUGAUGCAAUGUGCUCGGUGGACAGAGCAAAAUAUAC
Molecule: RNA transcript, 1729 nt
Organism: Diachasmimorpha longicaudata
Lineage: Eukaryota; Metazoa; Arthropoda; Insecta; Hymenoptera; Braconidae
Gene: Pcmt
Gene name: Protein-L-isoaspartate (D-aspartate) O-methyltransferase
Exons: 9
Source: RefSeq, a predicted model, not a curated record